Mus caroli (Ryukyu mouse) is the source of this 596-nucleotide non-coding RNA. Lineage: Eukaryota; Metazoa; Chordata; Mammalia; Rodentia; Muridae. The record is from RefSeq and is a predicted model, not a curated record.
GGAGUCCCUUGGUUACCAAACAAUCCUUAAGGGUGUGGCUUCCCAUUAUGCUGUAGUAGGUAUAUAAGGAGCAGGCAGGAGACCUCCUGGUCAUUACUGCCAGGGGUAACACUGCUUACAGAAAGCUGUAUAGUAGGGGAAGCUAGUGUAACUAAAGAUCACCAGAAAGAUGGAAGAACAGCCUACACAAAGCAAUACCUUGGAAAAGAAUGAAGGAGAAGGGCCUGUUCAGCGUCAGAACAAGCGGGAUGAGAAGAAGGAGAAGAUAAUCAGGAGAGUGAAAGAAGUGCUCGCUCAGAGCCCGAACAAGGACAAGAAUUCAACGGUGAUCGUUAUUUGCUAUAGGGGCAAGAAGAAAAGAAACCCUAGUCAGCUGGAAAAGAAUGAAGGGACUCAGGACCAUUCUAGCAGUCCAAAUAACACCCAGUGACUGGCAGCAAUAGCAGACCUAAGCAGCUCUGCACCAUCUCCAGCAGGCUGCAGAGCCCUAUAAGGAACAGGUCAGGCAGCAGCUCUGCACCAUCUCCAGCAGGCUGCAGAAUCCUAAAAGGAACAGGUCAGGUCUGAUCAAUAAAGUAAGAACAAGAUUUAGCAGG